This is a long non-coding RNA of Acanthochromis polyacanthus (spiny chromis), 3749 nucleotides long. RefSeq lists it as uncharacterized. The transcript is spliced from 4 exons. The record is from RefSeq and is a predicted model, not a curated record. NCBI's taxonomy places the organism in Eukaryota, Metazoa, Chordata, Actinopteri, Pomacentridae.
UUACACUUUCAUGCCCUAUUGUUACCCGGUUGAUCAUAUUCACUUCAAAUGCAGUGACAACAGCCUGAACACAUUGAUGAUGCAUCCCAUUGAAAAUGGUGACUUGUCAUCAAAGGGCGUGUCUGUGGCGGCCAAACCAAUUUCGAUGUUUCGCCAUGAAAAUUUAACGAUUCAUAUCUCAGCUGAACAACAUCCUAUCUGCCUCAGACUUCACAUGCUGGAUACCAGGUCCAGUCUGAACACAUCCACACUCAUAAAUUUUGAAAAAGUCAUAGCGCCACCUGUUGGUAAUAGUAAGUUUAAGGCCUUAUAUUUUCAGGUACAAUGGCCCCGAACUUGAUGAUAUCAUGCUGGAAAUAGGUCAGUCGAGUCUUCACCUCUUGAAAAUUCCACACUGAGAAGGGUGUGACAUUUCAUGCAACGUUGUUGCCGUAGCAACCACAUAUCACCAUGCAAAACAAAGUGCUUUUUUGACGGUCUUAUCAUAUUCUAAAACGCGUGAAAUUCGCCAUGGUCAUCAGGACUGGUGAAUAAUUUGAUAUUUUAUAGGAGCUGCGCAUGUGCGUGGCAAAAUGGCUCUAUAGCGCCCCCUACAAAAUUCAAAAAGGGGUCAUUUGGCCAACUGCCGCAAUGUUUCAUUUACAGCUACAAUAUUUGGUGUGCAUAUGCACCACAUCAGGACACACCAUAAAGUCAAUCACAGCCACGCCCUAAACCCAACAGGAAGUCGGCCAUCUUGAAUUUGCUGUAAAUUUUUCAAACUUAAUAGCUCCUCGGGAAAUGAAUUGCCUUUUUAGGGGCCUUAUCACAAUCCAAAACGCGUGAAAUUUGGCGUGCACAUCAGGACUGGCGAAAAAUUUGAUAUUUUAUGGACGUUGCACAUGUGUGUGGCAAAAUGGCUCUAUAGCGCCACCUGCAAAAUUGAAAAGUGGUCAUUAGGCCAACUUCCACAAUGUUUCAUUUACAGCUACAAUAUUUGGUGGGCAUAUGCACCACAUCAGGACACACCAAAAAGUCAAUCACAGCCACGCCCUGAACCCAACAGGAAGUCAGACAUCUUGAAUUUACUGUACAUUUGUCAAAAUUAAUAGCUCCUAGUGAAUACGUCUGACAGAACUGAAAUUUGGCCAGUACAUGCACCAGACCUUUCUGAUGAAAAGUUAUCAAAAACUCAACCAGAAGCCAAAAGGUGUGGCCAUGGUGGAGCCUCAAAAAACUGAUCCUUCGCCAUGAAACAGGAAGUGGUGUCUAAUUCUUCUGACCAUUCUCCAAUCUGCCUGAAACUUUACAUGUAUGAUGACAGUCCUGUCCUGAUGUCAUCCACAUAGGGAUAUUCAUUGACAGUCAUAGCGCCACCUUGUGGUUUCAGGAAAUAGACAUCUUUUACACUUUCAUGCCCUAUUGUUACCCGGUUGAUCAUAUUCACUUCAAAUGCGGUGACAACAGGCUGAACACAUUGAUGAUGCAUCCCAGUGAAAAUGGUGACUUGUCAUCAAAUGGCGUGUCUGUGGCGGCCAAACCAAUUUCGAUGUUUCGCCAUGACAAUUUAACGAUUCAUAUCUCAGCUGAACAAGAUCCUAUCUGCCCCAAACUUCACAUGAUGGACACCAGGUCCAGUCUGAACACAUCCACACUCAUAAAUUCUGAAAAAGUCAUAGCGCCACCUGUUGGUAAUAGUAAGUUUAAGGCCUUAUAUUUUCAGGUACGAUGGCCCCAAACUUGGUGAUAUCAUGCUGGAAAUUGGUCAGUCGAGUCUUCACCUCUUGACAAUCCCACACUGUGAAGGGUGUGACAUUUCAUGCAACGCUGUUGCCGUAGCAACCAAAUAUCGCCAUGAAAAACAAAGCCCUUUCUGACAGGUUAGAAAUACUCCAAUGCUCACUAAAAUUACCACACACAUCACCAUCGACCCAAGGAACGACACCGUGUGCAUCUCGGCACUGCACAUGCUAUAGCGCCCCCUACAGUAUUUUCAACAAACAGCCCCCCCAGCACGUUUCACCUACAUCCAUGAAAUUUGGGAGGCUUAUAGAGCACAUCAGGACGCACAAAAAAGCCUCUUGGAGCCAUGUCCUAAAUCCAACAGGAAGUCGGCCAUCUUGGAUUAAUUGUGAGAUUUUUGAUGAUUUUUCUCAUUUUUGAGAGUUAAUACCUUCUAGGGGAUAAUUCCAGGAGACCUGAAAUUUUGUCAGUCCACACAGCAGGACUUGGUGAUGAAAAGUUAUCAAAAGUUUAACCAGAAGCCAAAUGGCGUGGCCAUGGCGACCAUCAGAGUUUUGAUGCUUCUCCAUGAAACAACAACUGCUGUAUAACUCUCUUCUGCAUGCUCCAAUCUGCCUCAAACUUUACAUGUGUGAUCACAAUCCAAUCCUGAUCACAUCGACAGGCCAACAGACACUCUCAGUUGCAGCGCCACCUGUUGGGGGGACAGUAAAUGCUGUAUAACUGGCCUCUACAUGAUCAAAUCAGCCUGAAACUUUUCAUGAGUGAUCAGAGUCCAACCCUCAUCACAUCCACUGUUUGAAAUACACUCUGAGUUACAGCACCACCUGGUGGUGGAUGGGCAGGAAAUGCUGUAUAACUAGUCUGAACAUGCUCCAUCUGGCUGAAAUUUUACGUGUGAUUAAACUCUGGUCCAGAUGUGAUUCAGAGGCCGGCACACACUCUCAGUCACAGUGCCACCUGAUGGACGUGCAUGGAUUCGCCGACCAGCGUGGAUGCGAGGACCCGUCCAUCGCUGCUUGCAGCUUUAAUGUUUUGUUUGAUUUUUCUUGAAAUGGCUUUUAUUUUGCUUGUAAUUGUUUUACUGUGUUUUUUACAUUUUAAAAACAUUUCCUUUAAUCGUUGCUAUUCUUUUAACUGUUUUACUGUUUUGUUGUUUGAUGGUGAACGCUUGUGUAACUGCUGCACAACAAAUUGCCCGGGUCGUUGGGGUCAAAUCCAGAAUUCAGUGGCAGAAUUACAGAUCUUUUCUGGACUGGUAUCAACAUCUGAUCCCCAAGGAGAAACUAGAAAGUGCUGGUGGUCUGAAUUGACCCUGCUGCCAUUAAGACCUAAAUCUGGACGUUGAUGUUGUAUGUUUUUCAUAUUGUACAUUUCUCCAGUAAUGUAACUUAACGGAAAGUCUGGGGAUGAAGAGAUCCUUGUGGUACAAUCCCAUCAGUGUAUGCUUUUCAUAUUGUAUACUGACAGUCAAUAGAAACUUUGAGGUAGAAAUGUACGCAGAAUUCUACUUGUAGGGGGGUUGUAAUUAUUCAUUGUGGAUUUACUGAUGAUCUAGUGCCCUGGUAGUUGAGAUAAUGAUGAUUUAUUUUGUCAUGACUCAUUGCACAUGGGUUGGUCACUUUGCAAAAGUGAACCAAAUACACACCAAGCGAUACUCAGUGAGUAUCCGCACAAUUUCAGAAUGGGUUUUGAAGGCCUAUAAAAAGGCCACCAUUGUUAGUCCAGUGAACAGCAUCAUGUCGCGUCUAUCACAUGAACAACGUCUCUGGGCACUGGGUAUGGUGGAGGCCGGUUUGAGCUACAGUGAUGUAGCCAGGCUUAUGGGCUGUUCCCAACCCACAAUCAGAAGCCUGGUCCAAAGCAUGCGCCGACGGAUUGCUGCCAGCAUCGAAGCAAAUGGAGGCCAUACUCGGUAUUUGUUUUGUCUUUUGUGAAAUUCUUUAUUUUGAAAUCAUUCUUGAAACUUUAGAUUUUUGUUUCUGUAUGCCAAUAUGCUAAACAAAUAAAAAUUAUGUUGAAAAAUA